This 608-nucleotide ribosomal RNA is filed under the name Bacillus sp. PSu4_29. RNAcentral describes it as "bacterial SSU rRNA". It matches the Rfam family "Bacterial small subunit ribosomal RNA", at positions 59 to 649 of the family's 1533-position model. The record is from RNAcentral. Lineage: Bacteria; Bacillati; Bacillota; Bacilli; Caryophanales; Bacillaceae.
CAGUCGAGCGGACCGACGGGAGCUUGCUCCCUUAGGUCAGCGGCGGACGGGUGAGUAACACGUGGGUAACCUGCCUGUAAGACUGGGAUAACUCCGGGAAACCGGGGCUAAUACCGGAUGCUUGAUUGAACCGCAUGGUUCAAUCAUAAAAGGCGGCUUCGGCUGCCGUUUACAGAUGGACCCGCGGCGCAUUAGCUAGUUGGUGAGGUAACGGCUCACCAAGGCGACGAUGCGUAGCCGACCUGAGAGGGUGAUCGGCCACACUGGGACUGAGACACGGCCCAGACUCCUACGGGAGGCAGCAGUAGGGAAUCUUCCGCAAUGGACGAAAGUCUGACGGAGCAACGCCGCGUGAGUGAUGAAGGUUUUCGGAUCGUAAAGCUCUGUUGUUAGGGAAGAACAAGUACCGUUCGAAUAGGGCGGUACCUUGACGGUACCUAACCAGAAAGCCACGGCUAACUACGUGCCAGCAGCCGCGGUAAUACGUAGGUGGCAAGCGUUGUCCGGAAUUAUUGGGCGUAGAGCGCGCGCAGGCGGUUUCUUAAGUCUGAUGUGAAAGCCCCCGGCUCAACCGGGGAGGGUCAUUGGAAACUGGGGAACUUGAGUGC